UGAUUGAGAUUUUAACACGAAGUGAGUGGCGAACGGGUGAGUAACACGUGGGUAACCUGCCCAGAAGUAGGGGAUAACACCUGGAAACAGAUGCUAAUACCGUAUAACAGAGAAAACCGCAUGGUUUUCUUUUAAAAGAUGGCUCUGCUAUCACUUCUGGAUGGACCCGCGGCGUAUUAGCUAGUUGGUGAGGUAAAGGCUCACCAAGGCAGUGAUACGUAGCCGACCUGAGAGGGUAAUCGGCCACAUUGGGACUGAGACACGGCCCAGACUCCUACGGGAGGCAGCAGUAGGGAAUCUUCCACAAUGGACGCAAGUCUGAUGGAGCAACGCCGCGUGAGUGAAGAAGGGUUUCGGCUCGUAAAGCUCUGUUGUUAAAGAAGAACGUGGGUAAGAGUAACUGUUUACCCAGUGACGGUAUUUAACCAGAAAGCCACGGCUAACUACGUGCCAGCAGCCGCGGUAAUACGUAGGUGGCAAGCGUUAUCCGGAUUUAUUGGGCGUAAAGCGAGCGC
This 515-nucleotide ribosomal RNA is filed under the name Pediococcus pentosaceus. RNAcentral describes it as "bacterial SSU rRNA". It matches the Rfam family "Bacterial small subunit ribosomal RNA", at positions 70 to 572 of the family's 1533-position model. Lineage: Bacteria; Bacillati; Bacillota; Bacilli; Lactobacillales; Lactobacillaceae. The record is from RNAcentral.